This is a long non-coding RNA of Amphibalanus amphitrite, 253 nucleotides long. RefSeq lists it as uncharacterized. The record is from RefSeq and is a predicted model, not a curated record. Lineage: Eukaryota; Metazoa; Arthropoda; Thecostraca; Balanomorpha; Balanidae. The transcript has 3 exons.
CCGGAUCCGUGUGUGCAGGGGGAGUCGCGUGCUGCAAGUUAAGGGUCCCAGCAACUCUGUCGAUGCGGAGGUCACGGCCGCCACCGCCGACCCCGGCGAGGGCACCAGCGCGAGCGGGCCGCCGGCGAUGGACAUUGAGGAGAGCUGGCUCGUUAUCGACGAUGCAGUCGACCACCUGCUGCACCGCGCUGGCGAGCACGGAGCUGUGUUUCAGCCAUCCCCAGUGGCCAGUACCCAUGGCCGCAAGUUCGAG